GACGAACGCUGGCGGCGUGCCUAAUACAUGCAAGUCGAGCGGACGAAUCGAAGGCUUGCUUUUGAUUCGUUAGCGGCGGACGGGUGAGUAACACGUGGGCAACCUGCCCUGUAGACGGGGAUAACACCGAGAAAUCGGUGCUAAUACCGGAUAACACGAAAUGUCGCAUGACGUUUCGUUGAAAGACGGCGCAAGCUGCCGCUACAGGAUGGGCCCGCGGCGCAUUAGCUAGUUGGUGAGGUAACGGCUCACCAAGGCGACGAUACGUAGCCGACCUGAGAGGGUGAUCGGCCACACUGGGACUGAGACACGGCCCAGACUCCUACGGGAGGCAGCAGUAGGGAAUCUUCCGCAAUGGACGAAAGUCUGACGGAGCAACGCCGCGUGAGCGAAGAAGGCCUUCGGGUCGUAAAGCUCUGUUGUUAGGGAAGAACAAGUAACGCAGUAACUGGCGUUACCGUGACGGUACCUAACGAGAAGGCCACGGCUAACUACGUG
RNAcentral lists this ribosomal RNA (498 nucleotides) under uncultured bacterium. RNAcentral's name for it is "partial 16S ribosomal RNA". It matches the Rfam family "Bacterial small subunit ribosomal RNA", at positions 28 to 507 of the family's 1533-position model. The record is from RNAcentral.